RNAcentral lists this microRNA precursor (202 nucleotides) under Gossypium hirsutum (cotton). RNAcentral describes it as "MIR7502 microRNA precursor family". It matches the Rfam family "MIR7502 microRNA precursor family". Lineage: Eukaryota; Viridiplantae; Streptophyta; Magnoliopsida; Malvales; Malvaceae. The record is from Rfam by way of RNAcentral. RNAcentral also lists the same sequence under 1 other name.
UGUUAAAAAUUUCAUCUAUUUCUACUGUUAAAAACUGGUACAUGUAUGUCAGCAUAAGAUAUAUGUGACAUAUCACGUGUCAUUAUCUGAUUAUUCAUUCUAUUAACCGACAUCGAGGUGCCAAACCUUCCCGUCGAUGUGAGCUCUUGGGGAAGAUAAUCACACCAAUUUUUAACAGUGCAAAUGGAUGAAAUUUUUAUUA